Molecule: long non-coding RNA, 509 nt
Organism: Salvelinus namaycush (lake trout)
Lineage: Eukaryota; Metazoa; Chordata; Actinopteri; Salmoniformes; Salmonidae
Exons: 4
Source: RefSeq, a predicted model, not a curated record
CAUAGUCAUUGUACUAAAUCUACAUAUACACCUUCCUGUGUGCCCUGUAUUGACUCCACCUUCCUUGAUGAGCCCAGUGGUAAAACAACAUGCAACAACUGUACCACAUGUGAUCCAGGUUUGGGUUUGAAGGUAAAGCAGCCAUGUAGACCUUCAUCAGACACUGUCUGUGGGACACUGGAGGGGUUCUACUGUCUCGACCCAACUAAGGAUGGUUGUAGAGCAGCCCAGAGACACAGCAGCUGUCUGCCUGGUCAAUACAUCAGCCACACAGGAACAACAUCUACAGAUACUGUGUGUGCUGACUGCCCUGGUAAAACUUAUUCAAAUGGAUCAUUAACAUCUUGUCAACAACACACAGAAUGUGAAUUCUUGGAAAUAAAACCAGGAACUCCUUGGUCGGAUUCAGAAUGCGGAGUAGCUUCACUUCCCACAGCUGGAAUCAUAGCUGGUGUUCUCAUAUGUUUUUUCCAGAUAGGCACGAUAGCUGGUGUUUGUUUAUGUAAAAC